GACGAACGCUGGCGGCGUGCUUAACACAUGCAAGUCGAACGAUGAAACCUAGCUUGCUAGGUCGAUUAGUGGCGAACGGGUGAGUAACACGUGACUAACCUGCCCCUUUCUCUGGGAUAACGCUCCGAAAGGAGUGCUAAUACCGGAUACUCACACCGAGGCACAUGCCUUGGUGUGGAAAGUUUUUCGGAAAGGGAUGGAGUCGCGGCCUAUCAGCUUGUUGGUGAGGUAACGGCUCACCAAGGCGACGACGGGUAGCCGGCCUGAGAGGGCGACCGGCCACACUGGGACUGAGACACGGCCCAGACUCCUACGGGAGGUAGCAGUGGGGAAUAUUGCACAAUGGGCGCAAGCCUGAUGCAGCGACGCCGCGUGAGGGAUGAAGGUCUUCGGAUUGUAAACCUCUUUCAGUAGGGACGAAGCGAAAGUGACGGUACCUAAGGAAGAAGCACCGGCUAACUACGUGCCAGCCGCCGCCGUAA
This 482-nucleotide ribosomal RNA is filed under the name uncultured bacterium. RNAcentral's name for it is "partial 16S ribosomal RNA". It matches the Rfam family "Bacterial small subunit ribosomal RNA", at positions 28 to 523 of the family's 1533-position model. The record is from RNAcentral.